CGUGAUGCGGAGCUUUGUGCGUCCUGCAUUUGCCCUCGGGGCGUUGUGUUGUUCCUUUGCCUAAAACCGUGGGCUGCCUGCCUGCUCCUCCUUCGACUGGUUAUGAGCAGGAAAAGCGAAGCCGAGAGCAGAGGAUUUUAAGGAGUUCAAAUAAAAAGGGCUGCCAUGAAGUGUUUGUGAAGCUACUGCGCCAGCCUGCCCUGUGAUGGGAGUUCAUUCAAAGGCCAUGUUGUUUCAGGACAAGCAUCAGUAGCAAUUACCACUUCCAGCUUUUCUCUGGAAGUGUGAGUUUUUGCC
Long non-coding RNA from Lagopus leucura (white-tailed ptarmigan), 297 nucleotides. RefSeq lists it as uncharacterized. NCBI's taxonomy places the organism in Eukaryota, Metazoa, Chordata, Aves, Galliformes, Phasianidae. The transcript has 3 exons. The record is from RefSeq and is a predicted model, not a curated record.